GAAAAUUGAGAAACUGCUGAAUCAGCUAAAACGGGAAAUAUAUGAAGAAGAAAAAAUCCAAUGUCGAGGUGCAAUUUCACAACUGUGAGAAAACAAAACACAGAGACAGAGGGAUAUGGAACAAGAACAAGAAGAAGGAAGCCUAGAAAGCUUGCUGAAAUGGACUGCGGAGAUCGGAAUAUCAGACUCUCCGUCGUCGAACCGCCCUCUCUCCUCCUCCUCCUCCUCCUCCUGUCUCGGUCAAUCUCUCUCCGUCUCACAAUUCCCUGACUCUGGCGGGAGAGGCUUAGCAGCUGUCCGUGAUCUUAGAAAAGGCGAAUUGAUCCUCAGAGUUUCAAAAUCAGCCCUAAUCACCACUCAAAUUCUAUUCAAGGACCAGCCGCCACUCUCUCUUUCCAUCAAUAAACACCCUUCUCUAUCCUCCACUCAGGUGAAUGAUGCUAUCUGAGCUGCAGAAAAGGCUAAACUGAAGGCUGAAUUCGAUUGGAAAGAAGCUAUUUCCCUUAUGAAAGAACUUAACUUAAAGCGUCGUCUCCUAUCUUUUACUGCAUGGCUUUGGGCUUCUACAAGUAUAUCCUCCCGUACGUUGCAUGUACCAUGGGAUAAUGCUGAGUGUUUAUGCCCUGUGGGGGACUUGUUGAAUUAUGCGGCACCUGGGGAGGAGGACUUCGGUUCUGAAGACCCCUUGUCUCUGAAGACUCAAGCAGUAGGAGAAAUGCCUCUUCUUUGCAAGUAAAUUUUUCAUGGAAUGGAGACACCACAGAACAAUUUGAUGUAGCACAGAUUGAUCCAAAUUUACUGAGAUUAACGGAUGGUGGCUAUGAGGAUGAUGUCUCUGCAUAUUGCUUCUAUGCUAGAAGAAACUAUAAGAAAGGAGAGCAGGUCCGUCUAAGCUAUGGGACAUAAACAAAUUUGGAGCUUCUUGAACACUACAGGUUUUUUCUAGAUAAAAACCCAAAUGAUGAGGCUUUUAUUCCCUUAGAACCUGAAAUUUAUUCGUCGUGUUCAUGGCCCAAGGACUCACUAUACAUUCACCCAAACGGGAAGCCAUCCUUCGCCCUACUCUCUGCUCUGCAGUUAUGGUUAACCCCUCCAAGCCAGAGGCGAUCUGUUGGACACCUUGUUUAUUCAGGAUCUCAACUAUCAGCGAAGAAUGAGAUAAUUGUCAUGGGAUGGAUAGUGAAGAACUGCAAAGUAAUUUUGAAGAAAUUUGUGACAUCAAUUGAGGAAGACAAGUUACUUCUCUGCACCAUUGACAAAAUGCAAGAUUUUUGUACUCCUGCAGAGCUUGAGAGACUCCUAUCAACAUUUGAAGGCGAGGCUCGCGUUUUUGCAGAAACCAAGGGUCUCAUCAAUGGAGAGACUAGUGUAAAUUUACUUCAAUCGAGGCAGAUGCAGAGAUACAUGGAUAGAUGGAAAUUGGCAGUUCAGUGGAGACUUAUGUACAAGAAAACCCUAGCUGAUUGCAUUGCUUAUUGUUCUAAGGUAAUUGAUGGGCAUGGUGGUUGGCAAUGUCGGAUUUGGCAAAGAUGAUGGAAUUUGGGUGCUUGGCAAAGGUGGCAAUGUGGGUUUUGGCAAGGUUGGGGCUGCUGGCAUCGUCGGCAAUGGUGGCAAUGUGGCUUGGGGGAUGGUCGGCAUUGUAGGCAAUGGAGGAAGUGUGACUUUCGGCGGAGACGGGAUUGAAGGCACUGUUGUCUGCAGUAGUUGGCGAGCAGCCUGAGCCACCACGGUUGUCCGGAUGCUUGAAAGUGAUAAUGCAUGAUCUGAGAUACAACCAAACAACUAUAAAAAGCAGCCAUUAUUGUUUGAUAGGAGUAGAAAGUUUUGAAGGAGAUAGGCUCUGUACUAAACAAGUUUGUUGUGUGUUGAAGAGAAGAACUUGCAUUAGUAGCGUAUUUUAUAGAGAACAAAUGUUGAAAGGCACAACUGAUUUGGAAAGACAAAUAUGAGUUUGAUGAGAUGUGGUUGGACUUUGGAGGAAUAAAGUUGAAAAACAUUAGUGGUUAGUUCAACUUCCCAUACUUUGAGAGACGGUAAAUUCAGAUGUUAUAAGUAAACCAAAAUGAAGUCUCAUUUGGAAAAGCCUUUUAUCUGUUGUCUCCCUUUGGUAUCCGUAACGGUCAUGAGACAAGACAGGUUCAGGGUAUGGGGUGUUGCAGUUCUAAUCACUCAAGUUGAGCCAUUGUCACUCUGAAAUUCUACUUCACCAUGCUAUCUUCAUCUCUGCUUAUUUUUUGGGUGAAUCAUCUCUGCUUAUUUCAUGAAGCCGAAGGGUGGAAUUUUUUCCACAAAAGUUUAAAUUAGCAUCUCGAGGGUUAGGAGCUAAUUCUCUUUUGGAUACUCUCUAGUUGAGCUCUGGCUUCCUCCACUCUCUUGAAAAUGUCACUGUUGCUUCUCUGGUUCAGCAUCUUUAGUUCAACCUUCAAAAUUUUCAACUUCUGAUCCAAUCCAUGAAAAAUACCUUUAACUUGUUUAAUCCGAACACCAGAAAUAAUAUUCAAGAAAUCAACAAUAAAAAAAAUGUAGAAG
Molecule: non-coding RNA, 2529 nt
Organism: Camellia sinensis
Lineage: Eukaryota; Viridiplantae; Streptophyta; Magnoliopsida; Ericales; Theaceae
Source: RefSeq, a predicted model, not a curated record